CGCAGACCCCACCAGGCAUACGGCGUGACUUUAUUUUUUUAAUCAUGAAUAAACAACUAACAGACGAGGAUAUAACUAGUUUAUUAUUCCAAGAGUUGAAUAAGGAAGACUUAGUUGCAUUUGAUUCAAGUGGAGAAGAGUUUGACGUUGCUCUAGAGCAGUGUUUCCCAAAGUGGGCGAUAACGCCCCCUUGUGGGCGCUGCAGGGUUAAAGGGGGGCAGUAAGAGACCCAGAAAAAAAAUCGGGACGUUGUGUAGAGGCUUGGGAGGCGUCAUCUACUAGGAGGACUCUUAGACACCGACUGAGCU
Ostrinia nubilalis (European corn borer) is the source of this 308-nucleotide long non-coding RNA. RefSeq lists it as uncharacterized. NCBI's taxonomy places the organism in Eukaryota, Metazoa, Arthropoda, Insecta, Lepidoptera, Crambidae. The record is from RefSeq and is a predicted model, not a curated record. The transcript has 2 exons.